RNAcentral lists this ribosomal RNA (484 nucleotides) under uncultured bacterium. RNAcentral's name for it is "partial 16S ribosomal RNA". It matches the Rfam family "Bacterial small subunit ribosomal RNA", at positions 30 to 507 of the family's 1533-position model. The record is from RNAcentral.
AUUGAACGCUGGCGGCAGGCCUAACACAUGCAAGUCGAGCGGAUGAAGGGAGCUUGCUCCUGGAUUCAGCGGCGGACGGGUGAGUAAUGCCUAGGAAUCUGCCUGUUAGUGGGGGAUAACGUCCGGAAACGGGCGCUAAUACCGCAUACGUCCUUAGGGAGAAAGUGGGGGAUCUUCGGACCUCACGCUAUCAGAUGAGCCUAGGUCGGAUUAGCUAGUUGGUGGGGUAAAGGCCUACCAAGGCGACGAUCCGUAGCUGGUCUGAGAGGAUGAUCAGCCACACUGGAACUGAGACACGGUCCAGACUCCUACGGGAGGCAGCAGUGGGGAAUAUUGGACAAUGGGCGCAAGCCUGAUCCAGCCAUACCGCGUGUGUGAAGAAGGCCUUCGGGUUGUAAAGCACUUUUGUUGGGAAAGAAAAGCAGCAGGUUAAUACCCCGCUGUUCUGACGUUACCAAAAGAAUAAGCACCGGCUAACUUCGUG